AUGGCUGCCACAAACACGUAUGUCCUGAAGGGGGACGAUACCACAAACUCUCAGUUUGUCAAUAUUGUUGCCAACAUUAGUCAAGCGAUGCAAAAAAUGACCACCGUGUUCGUUCAACAAAUGCAAGUUAUCGAAAAUACCCUGGAGCUUCUUGUCACUUCAGGGGAUGAUGUACGCGUCAAGACUAAUUUUUCUGACAGUCUGAAGUUGCCAAGCCUCAGCAGUAAGGAUAUGCAUCCAUGCUGCGAUAAGGUUUUGAGUAAGCUGUCUAUUUUAGAAGGAGUUGUUCAAAAACUUUGCGAAUCAUUUUGUACGGAUGUGAAAACAUCUGAAAAAUCUCAAUCUAAAAGCACGAAACUUAACACACCUGUUGUAUUACUUACGGACACCAAUUGCCGGAAACCAACUACCGUUCAAGCGCAAGUAUCCCUUGACUCUAGUUUUCAGAUUAUCACUUUGAAUGCUGAAGACGAUUAUCCUGGAGGAUCAUGGCUAGGAGACGAAGAUAUUGCUGAGGCUAGAGUCCGAGUUCCCAUCUCUCCAGGGUAUUUAUCAGAUUGUUAUCAUAUUUUCAUAACAUCAGUGUGACACGUUGGAAAAUGUGAAUCUCCCUUCAGAAUCACCGAUUCUGUUUUAUUUUUAGAUGGCGUUAUUCGGCGGUACGGUACUGUAAAUAAAAUUUUAUUUGACGGUACCGUACCCACACCAGCAAAUCUUCUAAGUAUUGCUAAGGUGCCUUUACGGGAUAACUUUAUGACUGCUAACUGGAAAAUUCCUACCCCUAAAGUGCCUUUACCCGGAUGACUUUUUAACCGCUAACUGGAAAAUUUCCCUCCAGUAAGAUGCUUCCACUGGAUGAGCAAGCAAACGCCAUCUACAGUGAUCCACUGGUAUUAUCUAGAGAAAUUAUGUAACUAAGGAAAGGAAAUCUUGGAUGCGCAAAAAUCAAUGGCCCACCAGUAUUUGCUUCAGAAACUGGCUUCGUAGUUUCAGACUACCGCAAAAAUUUUGCAUCUUUUAUCUGAUCAGUUGUGUUUUCUUCAAGUUUUUGGCUGCAUGUAAUAGCAAUGCAAUAUAUGUAAGUUUUUUAAGUGUAUUAAUCUGGCAUGGGUUGGCAAGGUGUGGCAUGGGUUGGCAAGGUGUGGCAUGGGUUACAAUGCGUAUGGGCUUUGAAAUGUAUGCAGAGAGCAAUUAGAGUUUACGCGAACAUCGAAGCACUGGAUUACCUAAGUGCAUUUACAUUCAGCCUGAAAUACCUAGCAUUAUGAUGUUACCUGCGGCAUGUAUACCCACUGUUGGCACCUUAGCGGUACAAAGUUUUCUGGUUAGCGGUAAAAAGUCAUCUGGUAAAGGCACCUUAGCGAUACUUGGAUUUUUUAGUCACGUUACUGUACCGCCAAAUAACAAUUUAUUCGACGAUACCAUACCACCGAUUUAUUUUUUGAGAUGAAAAAUAAUCAAAGUAGCUCCUUGCGAUUUUCUGUGAAAUUGUUUAAUUUGUCAAGAAGAUUCACAUAAAAUUUCAAGGAAAACUGCAGGUUUUCUAAUAAGAGAAACCCCAAGCGGACAUGUACAAUGUUUCAAAUGGUUGUGUACAUUUCUCCACUUCAGCCAUGUAUAUUUCGGAAAUUGCAAGAGAAUUUGUUCAGUUAGUGUUAAAAAACAUAGAAAAUCCAAGAGUAUCUGGACAAAACUAACCAGAUUCAACCAAUUAUGAAGAAUCAACCAGAGUCAUGUUGCCUAAUUGCCUCUUGUGUCGUACUUUUUAACAGAAUGUUCUGAAAGAUCCAGAAUUUGUCUUAAAUUAUGAGGAAUUUACUCACUAAAUUUUGCUGAGUUUCCUGUCCCGAAAAAGGAGACUUUAAAAGGAAACUAGGAAUCAUGAGAUGGAGUCAAGAUAAAGCUGUCCAUUUAAUGAGUGACUAAAUCAGGAAACGAAAGAAUAAAUCUUUCCCAAUUGAAUUUGGAGUUACCACCACUGAUUGUGAAGGAUAAGGAAGAUGAGUGCAUCGUCAGAUUUUUACCUCUGGAAACUUCUGAAUGUGUGCAACUUCAUGCCAAAAAAAACGCAUCGUAAAACCUUUCUGUAUAAGAUUUUAUUAGCAAAGGGUAUUUGAGCCUCAGGGUUUACUUGCUAUCAAUGAAUGACCACUGGCCUACAGAGAAUGUGACAACAUCCACGAUGGCCAAAGCAGACUGAAACAGCACGCCUUUUGGUUAAAACACACCAGCAUAGCAAAAGAUUGGAACCCUGUGUAUCAUCCUUGUAAUAUGUAACAGUCAUCCAAACAAAAUUCCUUAUAGCUCGUCUCCUCUGCACAUUUUCAUGAAACUUUUGCGAAAUGAAAUCGCUCAAUUGAACUUUAUCCCAGCAUUCUCAAAAAUCAAUGAAACAGAAUUGAUAAAUGAGGAAGAUAAAAGACUGUAAAAACUUGUCUCCAGUUUGUUUGACUGUGGCAAUUCAUGUUGCGGAAGUCAGUAUAAAUUGUCGUUGUGCUGUUGCGAAAGGAUAGGAGAAUAGGUGUUAUAAAAUUGCUCUAAAAUUAUUUUUACUUUCAAACUUUAUUCAUCAUUUUGCAGGAUCUCUGCCAUUCUGAGAAAGUCAGGAAAUUUAUAGUAACCUGGAAAUGUCAGAGAAUUUUGCGAGUUGCUUGUCAGCUAAGCAAUUUCAGCCAGUGCCAUUCAAGGGAGCUAUAACAGCUUCUGAGUGUCUUUUCUCAUAAUUUGAAUCUAUAAUUGCGGAAAUUUCAUCCAAAGUUUAGCAAAAGUCAGCGGUAAUUAGAAAAAAAUUGGGAGGUAAUUUUUUUCUAAUGUAAGGGAAAGUCAAGGAAUGAGGAAAUUUUUAAUAUCAGGAAAAGCAAAAAAAUCGAGGAUGAGUCAGGGGAUUUAGGAAAAGAAAAAAAAUGGAAACUUCGUUCUGUGGUAAAAACGUACCUAUUGCACGGAGUGCACAAGAUAAAUUAUAGUAAGAAUAAAAAUAUACAACUGAUUAACAACUCACUUGCACAUUCAUUUAAAACGACUUCUUUAAAUUAACGUGCAAGUAAGUUAUAAAUCAUACAUAUUUUUACUGUUGAACCCGUUUUGUAACAUGUAGUUUGUCUUGAUUUCAAGAAUAUAUAAGAUGGAAUCCUAUUUUCAAUCUCAUUGUAUUUUAUUUUUUCUGGAUUUCAAGUUUUUUUCU
Molecule: long non-coding RNA, 3184 nt
Filed under: Bemisia tabaci
Lineage: Eukaryota; Metazoa; Arthropoda; Insecta; Hemiptera; Aleyrodidae
Description: lncRNA ENSSWEETPG005816
Source: RNAcentral